RNAcentral lists this ribosomal RNA (494 nucleotides) under uncultured bacterium. RNAcentral's name for it is "partial 16S ribosomal RNA". It matches the Rfam family "Bacterial small subunit ribosomal RNA", at positions 28 to 507 of the family's 1533-position model. The record is from RNAcentral.
GACGAAUGCUGGCGGCGUGCUUAACACAUGCAAGUCGAACGGUGAAGCGCCUUCCUUUUUGGUGGGUGUGGAUGAGUGGCGAACGGGUGAGUAACACGUGAGUAACCUGCCCCCUUCUUCUGGAUAACCGCAUGAAAGUGUGGCUAAUACGGGAUAUUCUGGGUCUGUCGCAUGAUGGGUCUGGGAAAGAUAUUGUUUCGGUGGGGGAUGGGCUCGCGGCCUAUCAGCUUGUUGGUGGGGUGAUGGCCUACCAAGGCGGUGACGGGUAGCCGGCCUGAGAGGGUGGACGGUCACACUGGGACUGAGACACGGCCCAGACUCCUACGGGAGGCAGCAGUGGGGAAUAUUGCACAAUGGGCGCAAGCCUGAUGCAGCGACGCCGCGUGAGGGAUGGAGGCCUUCGGGUUGUGAACCUCUUUCGCCAGUGAAGCAGGCCUGCCUCGUUUGUGGGUGGGUUGACGGUAGCUGGAUAAGAAGCGCCGGCUAACUACGUG